Molecule: ribosomal RNA, 403 nt
Filed under: Fusobacteriota bacterium
Lineage: Bacteria; Fusobacteriati; Fusobacteriota
Description: Fusobacteria bacterium partial 16S ribosomal RNA
Rfam family: Bacterial small subunit ribosomal RNA
Source: RNAcentral
UGGGGAAUAUUGCACAAUGGAGGGAACUCUGAUGCAGCGACGCCGCGUGAACGAAGAAGGCUUUCGAGUCGUAAAGUUCUUUUAUAUGGGAAGAUAAUGACGGUACCAUAAGAAAAAGCACCGGCUAACUACGUGCCAGCAGCCGCGGUAAUACGUAGGGGGCUAGCGUUGUCCGGAAUCACUGGGCGUAAAGGGUUCGCAGGCGGAAAUGCAAGUCAGGUGUAAAAGGCAGUAGCUUAACUACUGUAAGCAUUUGAAACUGCAUAUCUUGAAAAGAGUAGAGGUAAGUGUAAUUUUUAGUGUAGCGGUUAAAUGCGUAGAUAUUAAAAAGAAUACCGGUGGCGAAGGCGACUUACUGGGCUCAUUCUGACGCUGAGGAACGAAAGCGUGGGUAGCAAACAGG